UACGAGUGCCUCAAGCGUUAUCCGGAAUUAUUGGGCGUAAAGGGUGUGUAGGCGGUUGUAUUAGUCUUCUGUUAAAUUCUUCGGCUUAACCGGGGGCUUGCAGAGGAAACGGUACAACUAGAGGGUGCGAGAGGUGAAUGGAACUCAUGGUGUAGGGGUGAAAUCCGUUGAUAUCAUGGGGAACACCAAAGGCGAAGGCAAUUCACUGGCGCAUUUCUGACGCUGAAACACGAAAGCGUGGGUAGCGAAUGGG
Molecule: ribosomal RNA, 253 nt
Filed under: uncultured bacterium
Lineage: Bacteria
Description: partial 16S ribosomal RNA
Rfam family: Bacterial small subunit ribosomal RNA
Source: RNAcentral